GAUUUCUGGCUGGCCGCGUAUGGUCGGGCGUCCUCAGGGCGCUUUGUAUUGUCGCGUGUUUGCCAUCCUUCCAGAGAGCUGUGCCUACCGUCUCGUACGGCAGGGCGCUGCGAUCUGGAUCGUUUACUUUGAAAAAAUUAGAGUGUUCCAAGCAAGCUUACGCUUUGAAUACAUUAGCAUGGAAUAAUAAUAUAGGACUUCUGUUCUAUUUUGUUGGUUUCUAGGACCGAAGUAAUGAUUGAUAGGGAUAGUUGGGGGUGCUAGUAUUCAGCGGCCAGAGGUGAAAUUCUUGGAUUCGCUGAAGACUAACUACUGCGAAAGCAUU
RNAcentral lists this ribosomal RNA (325 nucleotides) under uncultured Paulinella. RNAcentral describes it as "SSU rRNA". The stretch from base 113 to 325 matches the Rfam family "Eukaryotic small subunit ribosomal RNA", at positions 741 to 955 of the family's 1831-position model. Lineage: Eukaryota; Cercozoa; Imbricatea; Euglyphida. The record is from RNAcentral.